Molecule: ribosomal RNA, 253 nt
Filed under: uncultured bacterium
Lineage: Bacteria
Description: partial 16S ribosomal RNA
Rfam family: Bacterial small subunit ribosomal RNA
Source: RNAcentral
UACGUAGGUGGCAAGCGUUGUCCGGAAUUAUUGGGCGUAAAGCGCGCGCAGGCGGUCUCUUAAGUCUGAUGUGAAAGCCCACGGCUCAACCGUGGAGGGUCAUUGGAAACUGGGGGACUUGAGUGCAGGAGAGGGGAGCGGAAUUCCAUGUGUAGCGGUGAAAUGCGUAGAGAUAUGGAGGAACACCAGUGGCGAAGGCGGCUCUCUGGCCUGUAACUGACGCUGAGGCGCGAAAGCGUGGGGAGCGAACAGG